Molecule: ribosomal RNA, 379 nt
Filed under: uncultured bacterium
Lineage: Bacteria
Description: bacterial SSU rRNA
Rfam family: Bacterial small subunit ribosomal RNA
Source: RNAcentral
UAAUACGGGGGGAGCAAGCGUUGUUCGGAUUUACUGGGCGUAAAGGGCGCGUAGGCGGUCAGCACAAGUCAGUUGUGAAAUCUCCGGGCUUAACUCGGAAAGGUCAACUGAUACUGUGCGACUAGAGUGCAGAAGGGGCAACUGGAAUUCUCGGUGUAGCGGUGAAAUGCGUAGAUAUCGAGAGGAACACCUGCGGCGAAGGCGGGUUGCUGGGCUGACACUGACGCUGAGGCGCGAAAGCCAGGGGAGCGAACGGGAUUAGAUACCCCGGUAGUCCUGGCCUUAAACGAUGGAUGCUUGGUGUCUGGAGUUAUAUAGUCUCCGGGUGCCGCAGCUAACGCGUUAAGCAUCCCGCCUGGGGAGUACGGUCGCAAGACUG